This 497-nucleotide ribosomal RNA is filed under the name uncultured bacterium. RNAcentral's name for it is "partial 16S ribosomal RNA". It matches the Rfam family "Bacterial small subunit ribosomal RNA", at positions 28 to 507 of the family's 1533-position model. The record is from RNAcentral.
GAUGAACGCUGGCGGCGUGCCUAAUACAUGCAAGUCGAGCGAACAGACGAGGAGCUUGCUCCUUUGACGUUAGCGGCGGACGGGUGAGUAACACGUGGGUAACCUACCUAUAAGACUGGGAUAACUUCGGGAAACCGGAGCUAAUACCGGAUAAUAUUUCGAACCGCAUGGUUCGAUAGUGAAAGAUGGCUUUGCUAUCACUUAUAGAUGGACCUGCGCCGUAUUAGCUAGUUGGUAAGGUAACGGCUUACCAAGGCAACGAUACGUAGCCGACCUGAGAGGGUGAUCGGCCACACUGGAACUGAGACACGGUCCAGACUCCUACGGGAGGCAGCAGUAGGGAAUCUUCCGCAAUGGGCGAAAGCCUGACGGAGCAACGCCGCGUGAGUGAUGAAGGUCUUCGGAUCGUAAAACUCUGUUAUUAGGGAAGAACAAACGUGUAAGUAACUGUGCGCGUCUUGACGGUACCUAAUCAGAAAGCCACGGCUAACUACGUG